GUGGGGAAUAUUGGACAAUGGGCGAAAGCCUGAUCCAGCCAUGCCGCGUGUGUGAAGAAGGUCUUCGGAUUGUAAAGCACUUUAAGUUGGGAGGAAGGGCAGUAAGUUAAUACCUUGCUGUUUUGACGUUACCGACAGAAUAAGCACCGGCUAACUUCGUGCCAGCAGCCGCGGUAAUACGAAGGGUGCAAGCGUUAAUCGGAAUUACUGGGCGUAAAGCGCGCGUAGGUGGUUUUGUAAGUUGGAGGUGAAAUCCCCGGGCUCAACCUGGGAACUGCCUCCAAAACUGCAUGACUAGAGUACGGUAGAGGGUAGUGGAAUUUCCUGUGUAGCGGUGAAAUGCGUAGAUAUAGGAAGGAACACCAGUGGCGAAGGCGACUACCUGGACUGAUACUGACACUGAAGUGCGAAAGCGUGGGGAGCAAACAGGAUUAGAAACCCUUGUAGUCC
RNAcentral lists this ribosomal RNA (450 nucleotides) under uncultured bacterium. Its description in RNAcentral is "partial 16S ribosomal RNA". It matches the Rfam family "Bacterial small subunit ribosomal RNA", at positions 354 to 796 of the family's 1533-position model. The record is from RNAcentral.